RNAcentral lists this ribosomal RNA (116 nucleotides) under Sordaria macrospora k-hell. Lineage: Eukaryota; Fungi; Ascomycota; Sordariomycetes; Sordariales; Sordariaceae. The record is from RNAcentral.
ACAUACGACCAUAGAUGGUAGAAAACUCGGGAUCCCGUCCCUUCCCAAGAUACGCUACCAGGGGUUGACUAGUAGUUGGGUCGGUGACGACCAGCGAAUCCCAGGUGUUGUAUGUU